GAUUCACCAUAUCGGGGUCUGCCUCCACAUCAUCAGUCGCAGCAACUGCGAUCGCGCAUCGUCCGCUGGUCAAUGAACCACAGUGACGAACAGUCAGUUCACGAUUGGAGGCGAACGGGGGCAGCAGCCGCAAGAGUGACCCAAAUCCAUAUAAUGCUGCUGGGGUUGUGCGCUUCCGCGUGUCUUGCUGAUCGCUGUUUAGCUUUUUAAGGUAUUUUCUCAUUGACCGUGCGUAUAGUUCGCUGCGCCCGCAUGUGGGGUCCAUACCCACAAGUGGCCGCAGAGCAGAGUACCCAGAGCGGAAGAACAACAGAUGAAGAUGGCCUUAUAUGGUUCGGACAUCACAUCGGAGGCCAAUCAUGGUGCGGUGAAGGCUCGUCGGUUGACCAAAUCCAACUUCUGCUAUCCAAACACUCGUUCCGUUGGACAAUGUUCCUGGCUGGACAAACUUGGACAGAGCGGGACAGGCAGGAAUGAUUAAUUGUGGUCGAUGCGUUUUUAAUAAUGGCCCGUCGAUAAUAAUGGCGGUGGGAAACGCGUGCUCGACGAAAUGUCGCCAUUGAUCACGUUUCCGGUGUGCCGUCGUCAUGUAGAUACGGGAACGAUACUUCAUCUCAUAGCUCCUAUGUUCAUCCCAUCGAAAGCAAAGCAAUGAAAAGAAAUUUAUUUCUUAUUUUUGUGAUUUUUUUAAGCACUGGACAUACAAAAGAAGCGAGGUUGG
Molecule: long non-coding RNA, 721 nt
Organism: Armigeres subalbatus
Lineage: Eukaryota; Metazoa; Arthropoda; Insecta; Diptera; Culicidae
Exons: 3
Source: RefSeq, a predicted model, not a curated record